GCAUUUAUUGGCAGGCUACAUCUAAGACUUUCUCUGCAGAAAAAUGUUCUAGAUGCACAGAUUUGGGGGCUUGAUUGACAACCUGACACCUCACUCUAAAUCCGCAUGGGUCUGUUGACCUCAGCUGAGAAACCAAGUUAUGCUGAAGACCUGGAAAUCCCAGCAGGCUGCAAACCAGCUGCAACUACAAUGGGUCAGCCCUUUUGAGAUGCUGCUGACUACCCACUCAUCUGCC
Molecule: long non-coding RNA, 235 nt
Filed under: Pan troglodytes (chimpanzee)
Lineage: Eukaryota; Metazoa; Chordata; Mammalia; Primates; Hominidae
Description: long non-coding RNA NONPTRT004030
Source: RNAcentral